Molecule: long non-coding RNA, 1238 nt
Organism: Ornithorhynchus anatinus (platypus)
Lineage: Eukaryota; Metazoa; Chordata; Mammalia; Monotremata; Ornithorhynchidae
Exons: 5
Source: RefSeq, a predicted model, not a curated record
CCAUGUCCCUCCCAGUGGCCACUGGGCUUCUCAUAUUGCCUUCUCAUAUUCUAGUGCACCAGGAUGAAGAGACAGAGACUGUGGAAGACCUUUUACACUUUCAGAACGUUGGGAAGGAUGUGACUGUUAUGUCCGUUGGACUGUGAACAGCCCUUCCUGAGCACACAUGAGCAUUGAAACGGCUCCUUUAGCCACAAUGUUCUUUGAUGUUGUUUUUCAAUUUAAAUUGUUUCCUCUUUGCUAAUGUGCUGCUUGCUAAUGAUCCCAGCCUUACUUUUAGAUGCAUUCAAAGAAUAUUUCAAAGACAAAUUUGGAACUGAGAUUUGGUGAAAGUUAAAUAAUCAAGGACACCUUGAGACAUUUUGGAAGUAUAAGAUUAGAAAUUUUAUGUGGACAUAAACAGUUUUCUGGGAUCAAUUUUUUAAGUGGUUAACUGCAGUCAAUGGAAAUUACUGACUUCUUCAAGCGAGAAGUGACAGCAUUCAAAGGAAGACUCAGCACCAAAUGUAAAAGUCAUAUUGCUGCUACUUUAAUUCGAAUUUCACUGAAUGGAGUCGAGUUUUAAGUCAAGCAGCAAAAAUGAUCUCUCUGAGCACAGAAGCAAGCCUUCCUUCUGCCUUCCUGAUGCUGUAAACAAAGUCUUUGUUCAAAAGCAUGCUCUCUGAAUUGCUGCCUGCAGACUGCUCUGCCUGAUGAAGUAGUUUUUUUCUUGCAUUGAUAAAAGCAGAAGUCGCACACUAGUCUGUACAGUUUAUAACUAGAUUCUGCAAUGGUUAUACCCAGUUGGAGGUAUCCAGGUGAAAAUGGAGAAGAGGAGAGAUCUCAGGCUGGAGAGGGAGACUUGGGGGUAACCUGUAUAGAGGUGGUAGUUUUAAAGCCAAGAAAGCAGAUUUACUUCUCCAAAAGGGAAGGAAAGGGUGUUUUUUUCAUCUACUGUACAUUCCUAAUUGUAAAUUGAUAUAAUGUUCUGCACAUAUUUGGUACUUGUUACUUGUGAUGUUGCUUAGGAUGCCAGAUAUAUUCAUUUAUUCAAACCUUAUUGGUUCCUCUGUUUGUGCCACAGUAUUUGAACUCAGGAUAUCAAUGUUCAUGAUACCACUGGUUUACCCAUUACAAGUGUAGCAAACAGUAUAAAAUUACAUUUCUCAUAUUUUCUCAGUUCAUGAUAAUCCCAUUGCAAUUUUCACUCCCCAAAGCCUGUAUGAAUGUCAGCCAUCUCUCCAUUAAAACAAAAGUUU